This 610-nucleotide ribosomal RNA is filed under the name uncultured archaeon. RNAcentral's name for it is "bacterial SSU rRNA". It matches the Rfam family "Archaeal small subunit ribosomal RNA", at positions 319 to 929 of the family's 1478-position model. The record is from RNAcentral.
GGCCCUACGGGGUGCAGCAGGCGCGAAAACUUUACAAUGCUGGGAACAGCGAUAAGGGAACCUCGAGUGCCAGGUUACAAAUCUGGCUGUCGUGAUGCCUAAAAAGCAUUAUAUAGCAAGGGCCGGGCAAGACCGGUGCCAGCCGCCGCGGUAACACCGGCGGCUCGAGCGGUAACCGUUAUUAUUGGGUCUAAAGGGUCUGUAGCCGGCCGGAUAAGUCUCUUGGGAAAUCUGGCAGCUCAACUGUCAGGCUUUCAGGGGAUACUGUCUGGCUCGAGGCCGGGAGAGGUGAGAGGUACUUCAGGGGUAGGGGUGAAAUCUUGUAAUCCUUGAAGGACCACCAGUGGCGAAGGCGUCUCACCAGAACGGACCUGACGGCAAGGGACGAAAGCUAGGGGCACGAACCGGAUUAGAUACCCGGGUAGUCCCAGCCGUAAACGAUACUCGCUAGGUGUCGGCCACGGUGCGACCGUUGUCGGUGCCGUAGGGAAGCCGUGAAGCGAGCCACCUGGGAAGUACGGCCGCAAGGCUGAAACUUAAAGGAAUUGGCGGGGGAGCACCACAACGGGUGGAGCUUGCGGUUUAAUUGGAUUCAACGCCGGAAAUCUUA